GGGUGCGAUCAUACCAGCACUAAUGCACCGGAUCCCAUCAGAACUCCGAAGUUAAGCGUGCUUGGGCGAGAGUAGUACUAGGAUGGGUGACCUCCUAGGAAGUUCUCUUGUUGCACCCC
RNAcentral lists this ribosomal RNA (119 nucleotides) under Nelumbo nucifera (sacred lotus). The record is from RNAcentral. Lineage: Eukaryota; Viridiplantae; Streptophyta; Magnoliopsida; Proteales; Nelumbonaceae.